AACGAACGCUGGCGGCAUGCCUAACACAUGCAAGUCGAACGAGACCUCCGGGUCUAGUGGCGCACGGGUGCGUAACGCGUGGGAACCUGCCCUUAGGCUCGGAAUAAUUCCCCGAAAGGGGUGCUAACACCGGAUAAUGUCUUCGGACCAAAGAUUUAUCGCCCUUGGAUGGGCCCGCGUUGGAUUAGCUUGUUGGUAGGGUAAAAGCCUACCAAGGCGACGAUCCAUAGCUGGUCUGAGAGGAUGAUCAGCCACACUGGGACUGAGACACGGCCCAGACUCCUACGGGAGGCAGCAGUGGGGAAUAUUGGACAAUGGGCGAAGGCCUGAUGCAGCAAUGCCGCGUGAGUGAUGAAGGCCUUAGGGUUGUAAAGCUCUUUUACCCGGGAUGAUAAUGACGGUACCGGGAGAAUAAGCACCGGCUAACUCCGUG
Molecule: ribosomal RNA, 433 nt
Filed under: uncultured bacterium
Lineage: Bacteria
Description: partial 16S ribosomal RNA
Rfam family: Bacterial small subunit ribosomal RNA
Source: RNAcentral